Molecule: regulatory RNA element, 145 nt
Organism: Nocardioides luteus
Lineage: Bacteria; Bacillati; Actinomycetota; Actinomycetes; Propionibacteriales; Nocardioidaceae
Source: Rfam
GGCUCGCGGGCCGCGCGGGGUAGGCUGCGAGCACGCUCGUGGCGCAGGAACCCGGUGAGAGUCCGGGGCGGUUCCGCCACUGUGAUGUCCGUUCCGAUGCUGGGCACGGACACAGCCAGACACUGGCCGCGGGCAUCCGACCGAU